AGCACAGGUUUACCUGUGUGACUGCGUACCUUUUGUAUAAUGGGUCAGCGACUUAUAUUCUGUAGCAAGGUUAACCGAAUAGGGGAGCCGGAGGGAAACCGAGUCUUAAUUGGGCGUUAAGUUGCAGGGUAUAGACCCGAAACCCGGUGAUCUAGCCAUGGGCAGGUUGAAGGUUGGGUAACACUAACUGGAGGACCGAACCGACUAAUGUUGAAAAAUUAGCGGAUGACCUGUGGCUGGGGGUGAAAGGCCAAUCAAACCGGGAGAUAGCUGGUUCUCCCCGAAAGCUAUUUAGGUAGCGCCUCGUGAAUUCAUCUCCGGGGGUAGAGCACUGUUUCGGCUAGGGGGCCAUCCCGGCUUACCAACCCGAUGCAAACUGCGAAUACCGGAGAAUGUUAUCACGGGAGACACACGGCGGGUGCUAACGUCCGUCGUGAAGAGGGAAACAACCCAGACCGCCAGCUAAGGUCCCAAAGUCAUGGUUAAGUGGGAAACGAUGUGGGAAGGCCCAGACAGCCAGGAUGUUGGCUUAGAAGCAGCCAUCAUUUAAAGAAAGCGUAAUAGCUCACUGGUCGAGUCGGCCUGCGCGGAAGAUGUAACGGGGCUAAACCAU
RNAcentral lists this ribosomal RNA (613 nucleotides) under Salmonella enterica. RNAcentral's name for it is "partial 23S ribosomal RNA". It matches the Rfam family "Bacterial large subunit ribosomal RNA", at positions 578 to 1190 of the family's 2925-position model. The record is from RNAcentral. RNAcentral also lists the same sequence under 1 other name. Lineage: Bacteria; Pseudomonadati; Pseudomonadota; Gammaproteobacteria; Enterobacterales; Enterobacteriaceae.